Molecule: ribosomal RNA, 506 nt
Filed under: uncultured bacterium
Lineage: Bacteria
Description: partial 16S ribosomal RNA
Rfam family: Bacterial small subunit ribosomal RNA
Source: RNAcentral
AGUGAACGCUGGCGGUAGGCCUAACACAUGCAAGUCGAACGGCAGCACAGGAGAGCUUGCUCUCUGGGUGGCGAGUGGCGGACGGGUGAGGAAUACAUCGGAAUCUACUCUGUCGUGGGGGAUAACGUAGGGAAACUUACGCUAAUACCGCAUACGACCUACGGGUGAAAGCAGGGGACCUUCGGGCCUUGCGCGAUUGAAUGAGCCGAGGUCGGAUUAGCUAGUUGGCGGGGUAAAGGCCCACCAAGGCGACGAGCCGUAGCUGGUCGGAGAGGAUGAUCAGCCACACUGGAACUGAGACACGGUCCAGACUCCUACGGGAGGCAGCAGUGGGGAAUAUUGGACAAUGGGCGCAAGCCUGAUCCAGCCAUACCGCGUGGGUGAAGAAGGCCUUCGGGUUGUAAAGCCCUUUUGUUGGGAAAGAAAUCCAGCUGGCUAAUACCCGGUUGGGAUGACGGUACCCAAAGAAUAAGCACCGGCUAACUUCGUGCCAGCCGCCGCAGUAA